RNAcentral lists this transfer RNA (76 nucleotides) under Enterococcus faecium. Its description in RNAcentral is "tRNA-Met(cat)". It matches the Rfam family "tRNA". From Rfam's summary of the family: Transfer RNA (tRNA) molecules are approximately 80 nucleotides in length. Lineage: Bacteria; Bacillati; Bacillota; Bacilli; Lactobacillales; Enterococcaceae. The record is from RNAcentral.
UGUACCUUUAGCUCAGUUGGUUAGAGCAGACGGCUCAUAACCGUCCGGUCGUAGGUUCGAGUCCUACAAGGUACGU